Molecule: ribosomal RNA, 1433 nt
Filed under: Capsicum annuum
Lineage: Eukaryota; Viridiplantae; Streptophyta; Magnoliopsida; Solanales; Solanaceae
Description: eukaryotic LSU rRNA
Rfam family: Eukaryotic large subunit ribosomal RNA
Source: RNAcentral
GCGAAAUACUAAUCGAACUGUCUAGUAGCUGGUUCCCUCCAAAGUUUCCCUCAUGAUAGCUGGAACUCACGAGCGAUUUCUAUCAAGGAAAGCCAAUGAUAGAGGCCUCAGGGGCGCAAUGCCCUCGACCUAUUCUCAAACUUUAAAUAGGUAGGACAGCGCGGCUGCUUUGCUGUGCCACGCCACAGAAUCAAGAGCUCCAAGUGGGACAUUUUUGGUAAGAAGAAUUGGUGAUAUGGGAUGAACCGAAAGUCAGGUUAUGGUGCCAAACUGCACGUUAACCUAGAUCCCACAAAAGGUGUUGGUCGAUUAAGACAGCAGGAUGAUGGUCAUAGAAGUCGAAAUCCACUAAAGAAUGUGUAACAACUCACCUUCCAAAUCAACUAACCCUAAAAAUAGAUGGCUCUUAAGCGCGCGACCUACACCUGGUCGUUGGGGCAAGUUCCAGGCCUCGAUGAGUAGGAGGGCAUGGUGGUCGCUGCAAAACCUUAGGCGCGAUCCUGGGUAGAGCGGCCGUCGGUGUAGAUCUAGGUGGUAGUAGAAAAUAUUCAAAUGAGAACUUUGAAGGCUAAAGAGGAGAGAGGUUCCAUGUGAAUGACACUUGCACAUGGGUUAGUCGAUCCUAAAGGUCGGGGGAACCCCGAUAGUAGCGCAUUUUGUGCGUACUCCAAAAGGGAAUUGGGUUACAAUUCCUGAAUCGAGAUAUGGCGGCUGACGUCAACAUUACGAAGUCUGGAUACGUCAGCGGGAGCCUUGGGAAGAGUUAUCUUUUUUGUUUAAUAGCCUGCCUACUCUGGAAUCGGCUCAGCCAGAGGUAGGGUCCAGAGGCUGGAAGAGCACCGCACACUGCGUGGUGUCCGAUGCUCUCCCGACGGCCCUUAAAAAUAUGAAGGACCGAAUUCCAUCCACUCCCGGUCGCACUCUUAACCGCAUCAGGUGUCCAAGGUGAACAACCUCUAGUCGAUGGAAUAAUGUAGGCAAGGAAAGUCGGUAAAAUGGAUCUGUAACUUCGGGAAGAGGAUUGACUCUGAGGGCUGGGCACGGGGGUCCCAGUCCCGAACCCAUUGGUUGUUGGUGUAUUGCACGAGCUGCUCCCGCAGCAAGAGCGGGUUGCUGCGUGCCGACCUGGGGACAUACUGGGAACGGUUCCUUCGAGGGCCUUCCCCGCGCGUCAAACAACCAACUCAGAACUGGUACAAACAAGCAGAAUCCGACUGUUUAACUAAAACAAAGCAUUGCGAUAGUCCCAAUGGAUAUUCAUGCAAUGUGAUAUCUGCCCUGUGCUUUAAUUGUCAAAGUGAAGAAAUUUAACCAAGCGCAGGUAAACAGCGGGAGUAACUAUGACUCUCUUAAGGUAGCCAAAUACCUCGUCAUCUAAUUAAUGAUGCACAUGAAUGGAUUAACGAGAUUCCCACUAUCCUUGUCUACUAUUC